RNAcentral lists this ribosomal RNA (741 nucleotides) under Lentilactobacillus buchneri. Its description in RNAcentral is "bacterial SSU rRNA". It matches the Rfam family "Bacterial small subunit ribosomal RNA", at positions 266 to 998 of the family's 1533-position model. Lineage: Bacteria; Bacillati; Bacillota; Bacilli; Lactobacillales; Lactobacillaceae. The record is from RNAcentral.
UACCAAGGCGAUGAUACGUAGCCGACCUGAGAGGGUAAUCGGCCACAUUGGGACUGAGACACGGCCCAAACUCCUACGGGAGGCAGCAGUAGGGAAUCUUCCACAAUGGACGAAAGUCUGAUGGAGCAACGCCGCGUGAGUGAUGAAGGGUUUCGGCUCGUAAAACUCUGUUGUUGGAGAAGAACAGGUGUCAGAGUAACUGUUGACAUCUUGACGGUAUCCAACCAGAAAGCCACGGCUAACUACGUGCCAGCAGCCGCGGUAAUACGUAGGUGGCAAGCGUUGUCCGGAUUUAUUGGGCGUAAAGCGAGCGCAGGCGGUUUUUUAGGUCUGAUGUGAAAGCCUUCGGCUUAACCGGAGAAGUGCAUCGGAAACCGGGAGACUUGAGUGCAGAAGAGGACAGUGGAACUCCAUGUGUAGCGGUGAAAUGCGUAGAUAUAUGGAAGAACACCAGUGGCGAAGGCGGCUGUCUGGUCUGUAACUGACGCUGAGGCUCGAAAGCAUGGGUAGCGAACAGGAUUAGAUACCCUGGUAGUCCAUGCCGUAAACGAUGAGUGCUAAGUGUUGGAGGGUUUCCGCCCUUCAGUGCUGCAGCUAACGCAUUAAGCACUCCGCCUGGGGAGUACGACCGCAAGGUUGAAACUCAAAGGAAUUGACGGGGGCCCGCACAAGCGGUGGAGCAUGUGGUUUAAUUCGAUGCUACGCGAAGAACCUUACCAGGUCUUGACAUCUUCUGCCAAC